RNAcentral lists this small RNA (135 nucleotides) under Pseudomonas wadenswilerensis. Its description in RNAcentral is "Pseudomonas sRNA P14". It matches the Rfam family "Pseudomonas sRNA P14". RNAcentral also lists the same sequence under 2 other names. The record is from RNAcentral. Lineage: Bacteria; Pseudomonadati; Pseudomonadota; Gammaproteobacteria; Pseudomonadales; Pseudomonadaceae.
CUUCACAGUUUUUCUACAUAAGGCUGUGGCGGACCCGGGACAGGCGCAUUUUUUUGCAGUUCUUGCGCUCUGUCAGUUUACUUACUACAAGUAAUGGGUACUAUGUACGCCGGCCAGUUUCUCUUUCUUGAGAGA